UAUAUCUAAAUUUAGCCAUGCUUAGUCUCCAGAACAUGGUUGUGCAAUUAGCAAUAAGAUCCUUCUACUCCUCAUUGACAAGAGUUUGGUUUCAAUACAUCCUAAUAAUAACCUUCUGAGUUCAGAUGAAAAUCUUGACCUCAAAUGUUGACUCUCCAUUUUCCUCCACAGAUGCUAUACGACCAGCUGAGUUCCUUAUUUGUUGCUCAUUGAAUAUGCACACAUCUGCUAGUCACCAGCUCUGGUUCCAUCUGGGGAAGAUUAGCUGGUCCCCACAGUAUCCUCAGAACCCACAAAACCCAGGGUGGAAGCAAGUCAUCCUCGAUUCAGAAGGACCAUUUAAGAAGGUUGCAAGAAACACAGAAAGUGUGAGGAGGAUACAGGCAGAUUAUCAACAUCCUGCUGAAGGGGAAGUUACUGUGCCGGUAUAAGCUGUGUCAGAAUGAGGCUGAUCAAUACUCACACUAUGGCUAAGUCGAACUGAAAGAAACAUUCAUCAUGAUAACAAGAAUUAACUUCAAAGCUAC
This is a long non-coding RNA of Hypanus sabinus (Atlantic stingray), 527 nucleotides long. RefSeq lists it as uncharacterized. NCBI's taxonomy places the organism in Eukaryota, Metazoa, Chordata, Chondrichthyes, Myliobatiformes, Dasyatidae. The transcript has 3 exons. The record is from RefSeq and is a predicted model, not a curated record.